Anas platyrhynchos (mallard) is the source of this 1197-nucleotide non-coding RNA. The record is from RefSeq and is a predicted model, not a curated record. Lineage: Eukaryota; Metazoa; Chordata; Aves; Anseriformes; Anatidae.
UCCAGAAUACGCCCCACAGUCAGCCCUCCCUUCACCUCAAGGCACCCCAGGGACCCCAUCCUUUCACAUCAAAGGAUCUCCGUACCCCAGAGAGCACCCUCAUCACCCCAAGGGACCCCCACACCUAAGGAGGACCGUCCCCACCAUCCCCAUACCACGUCCACCUACCGCGCAGCACUGGGAGCGCCAGUCCUGUCCCCACGUCCCACUGGUGCCACCGGUCCCCACGGCACCCUGCAGAGCUGGGAACGCCUUCCCAGUGUAGGCAGCCACGCUGGAAAUGCUCGUCCCCAUCACUGCAGGGACGGGACCCCAGUGUGGCUGCAGCAAAGCAGCUGUCACCGCAGCGUUCCACCAGGAACGCCUGUCCUGCCGCCCCAGCAGCAGCACUGGGAAUGCCUGUCCCCAGUGCGCCGCGGCACUGGAAAUGCCUGUUCCCACCAGGCCGGGAGGCUUUGGAAGGGCUGAGCACAGCGUGCAGUGCUGGAAACUCCUGUCCUCUCCUCCACGUGGCCCCGUUCGGCCUCCAGCCACGGUUGUUGGUGCAGAUGUCCUCACCAGGAAGACCUCCGGUGGAAGACCAUCGCGUCUUCAUGCAUCCUCCACCGUUUGUGAUCAUGCAAUAUUCAUGCUGUGUUGAUGUAUUUGUACCAAUAUCCUCUAUAGCAUGCAUUUCAGUCAUGGAUAGCUUAUGGAGAAUGCAUUAAUAACAUUUUUAAAGAGGAAAAAUGGAGUGGAAAGUGAAGUUUUCUGGAACUUGAUGGCUGUCCUUGCAGAAGUCGUGCUCUUUCAUCCUCCACCCUCCAUUGCAUGCUCUGCCUUUCCCCAAAAUACUUCUUAGGAGUGAAAAUUAAAGCUGACAGACUGUCCCUUGAUUAGUGUGGGUGGUUUCACCACACAGUGACAUGUGAGUGGGGACUUUCUUCAAAACUUUAACUGAAUCGGGUGAUUCUGUGUGGGGGUGCCCAACAAAUUUGAUACCUCGAGCUUAAGUUUCAGACACCGUGAGCCUGGAGCUGUGUUUGAAUUCUGGAUGCUGCCAUUUCUGUUUAGAAGAAUUAGUUCCAAAUAGUGAUGUAUUUUUGGAAAAUCUUCUGGGAACUGGUGAAACCUCAUUUUUUAUUCUUGUGAAAAAAAAAAAAAAAAUUUGCUGUUUCAGUAUUUACUAUAGUAAAGUGUAUUACUUUCGAGCGUUCA